This is a non-coding RNA of Podarcis muralis (Common wall lizard), 717 nucleotides long. Lineage: Eukaryota; Metazoa; Chordata; Lepidosauria; Squamata; Lacertidae. The record is from RefSeq and is a predicted model, not a curated record.
CAGAGACAAGGGCCAGCACCCUGGAGGAGGGCAGCGCCUUCCUUUGCUCAGGCUGCAAAGCACCAUCUGGUCCACGUAUCAUGGACGAGGAGCCACAGCUCCUUGUGAGCUUCACUCUUGCCUUGGUGAAUUGGCGUUGUAUUCGACUCCAGCGCUUUCUGCUAUGCAACUAUUUCCCUUUUGUUAUAUUUUUAAAUUUUAAUGUUAACAAAAAGUUUACUGCGAGGGUGAACCAAGCCCUCCCGCAUAUACUUUCCGCCACCUCCUGCCAAGCAACACCGCUGGGUGCGGCGGCAGCAGCAGAAUUCGAACGCGCGGCUGGGUGUCCAAGGCAACCCCGUCUCCUCUCCCCACGGGCGCCUAGCCUCGCAGCCUCGCCCCGUGCCAGCUGCCGUCCGUGGGACCCUCGGGCAAGGCCAGCGCAGCUCCUGCGAGAAGGGUCCGGUCCCUCUCCUCCUCCUCCUCCUCUCCAGCCCGAAACUUAAUAUUCCAGGCAGCUCUGGCGCUGGGAGGCACCGAGCGCCUCGCUGCCCCUCGAGCGGAGGGAAUAUUACUCACCGGGUCAUGGUCGGCUGAGUAAAAUACAACCCUCAUAUAUCAUCAUAACUGCCAGCAAAUGACAAUUAUAAUUGAGACGGCAAUAACUAGGAAAGAGUUCCUUAAUUUAACAUCCAAUUAUUACAAGUUAUCACUCCUUAAUAAAUGUAAUAUAACAGA